Long non-coding RNA from Amphimedon queenslandica, 131 nucleotides. RefSeq lists it as uncharacterized. The transcript has 2 exons. NCBI's taxonomy places the organism in Eukaryota, Metazoa, Porifera, Demospongiae, Haplosclerida, Niphatidae. The record is from RefSeq and is a predicted model, not a curated record.
UAGUCAGUGAUUUCUAUGUUAAAGGAAGCAACAAUAAAAGCAACACUAAUAAAAUAACAUUAUGAAGUUAAACAGAGUAUUUCUCAAGUGCUAACCUUUCCUUUGUGCUCAACAUUCAUUCAUUCAUUUAA